This 82-nucleotide transfer RNA is filed under the name Actinia tenebrosa (Australian red waratah sea anemone). RNAcentral describes it as "tRNA-Ser". It matches the Rfam family "tRNA". From Rfam's summary of the family: Transfer RNA (tRNA) molecules are approximately 80 nucleotides in length. Their secondary structure includes four short double-helical elements and three loops (D, anti-codon, and T loops). RNAcentral also lists the same sequence under 1 other name. Lineage: Eukaryota; Metazoa; Cnidaria; Anthozoa; Actiniaria; Actiniidae. The record is from Rfam by way of RNAcentral.
GUCGCGAUGGCCGAGUGGUUAAGGCGUUAGACUAGAAAUCUAAUGUGGUCUCCCCGCGCAUGUUCAAAUCCUGCUCGCGACG